CUUAAAUUGAAGAGUUUGAUCAUGGCUCAGAUUGAACGCUGGCGGCAGGCCUAACACAUGCAAGUCGAGCGGUAGCACAGAGGAGCUUGCUCCUUGGGUGACGAGCGGCGGACGGGUGAGUAAUGUCUGGGAAACUGCCUGAUGGAGGGGGAUAACUACUGGAAACGGUAGCUAAUACCGCAUAACCUCGCAAGAGCAAAGAGGGGGACCUUAGGGCCUCUCGCCAUCAGAUGUGCCCAGAUGGGAUUAGCUAGUAGGUGAGGUAAUGGCUCACCUAGGCGACGAUCCCUAGCUGGUCUGAGAGGAUGACCAGCCACACUGGAACUGAGACACGGUCCAGACUCCUACGGGAGGCAGCAGUGGGGAAUAUUGCACAAUGGGCGCAAGCCUGAUGCAGCCAUGCCGCGUGUGUGAAGAAGGCCUUCGGGUUGUAAAGCACUUUCAGCGAGGAGGAAGGCGGUAAGGUUAAUAACCUUAUCGAUUGACGUUACUCGCAGAAGAAGCACCGGCUAACUCCGUGCCAGCAGCCGCGGUAAUACGGAGGGUGCAAGCGUUAAUCGGAAUGACUGGGCGUAAAGCGCACGCAGGCGGUCUGUUAAGUUGGAUGUGAAAUCCCCGGGCUUAACCUGGGAACUGCAUUCAAAACUGACAGGCUAGAGUCUUGUAGAGGGGGGUAGAAUUCCAGGUGUAGCGGUGAAAUGCGUAGAGAUCUGGAGGAAUACCGGUGGCGAAGGCGGCCCCCUGGACAAAGACUGACGCUCAGGUGCGAAAGCGUGGGGAGCAAACAGGAUUAGAUACCCUGGUAGUCCACGCUGUAAACGAUGUCGAUUUGGAGGUUGUGCCCUUGAGGCGUGGCUUCCGGAGCUAACGCGUUAAAUCGACCGCCUGGGGAGUACGGCCGCAAGGUUAAAACUCAAAUGAAUUGACGGGGGCCCGCACAAGCGGUGGAGCAUGUGGUUUAAUUCGAUGCAACGCGAAGAACCUUACCUACUCUUGACAUCCAGAGAAUUCGCUAGAGAUAGCUUAGUGCCUUCGGGAACUCUGAGACAGGUGCUGCAUGGCUGUCGUCAGCUCGUGUUGUGAAAUGUUGGGUUAAGUCCCGCAACGAGCGCAACCCUUAUCCUUUGUUGCCAGCGAUUCGGUCGGGAACUCAAAGGAGACUGCCGGUGAUAAACCGGAGGAAGGUGGGGAUGACGUCAAGUCAUCAUGGCCCUUACGAGUAGGGCUACACACGUGCUACAAUGGCGUAUACAAAGAGAAGCGACCUCGCGAGAGCAAGCGGACCUCAUAAAGUACGUCGUAGUCCGGAUUGGAGUCUGCAACUCGACUCCAUGAAGUCGGAAUCGCUAGUAAUCGUAGAUCAGAAUGCUACGGUGAAUACGUUCCCGGGCCUUGUACACACCGCCCGUCACACCAUGGGAGUGGGUUGCAAAAGAAGUAGGUAGCUUAACCUUCGGGAGGGCGCUUACCACUUUGUGAUUCAUGACUGGGGUGAAGUCGUAACAAGGUAACCGUAGGGGAACCUGCGGUUGGAUCACCUCCUUACCAAGAAG
RNAcentral lists this ribosomal RNA (1553 nucleotides) under Pectobacterium carotovorum subsp. carotovorum. RNAcentral's name for it is "bacterial SSU rRNA". It matches the Rfam family "Bacterial small subunit ribosomal RNA". The record is from RNAcentral. Lineage: Bacteria; Pseudomonadati; Pseudomonadota; Gammaproteobacteria; Enterobacterales; Pectobacteriaceae.